CAGCAGCCGCGGUAAUACGGAGGGUGCAAGCGCUAAUCGGAAUUACUGGGCGUAAAGCGCACGCAGGCGGUCUGUCAAGUCGGAUGUGAAAUCCCCGGGCUCAACCUGGGAACUGCAUUCGAAACUGGCAGGCUAGAGUCUUGUAGAGGGGGGUAGAAUUCCAGGUGUAGCGGUGAAAUGCGUAGAGAUCUGGAGGAAUACCGGUGGCGAAGGCGGCCCCCUGGACAAAGACUGACGCUCAGGUGCGAAAGCGUGGGGAGCAAACAGGAUUAGAUACCCUGGUAGUCCACGCCGUAAACGAUGUCGAUUUGGAGGUUGUGCCCUUGAGGCGUGGCUUCCGGAGCUAACGCGUUAAAUCGACCGCCUGGGGAGUACGGCCGCAAGGUUAAAACUCAAAUGAAUUGACGGGGGCCCGCACAAGCGGUGGAGCAUGUGGUUUAAUUCGAUGCAACGCGAAGAACCUUACCUGGUCUUGACAUCCACAGAACUUUCCAGAGAUGGAUUGGUGCCUUCGGGAACUGUGAGACAGGUGCUGCAUGGCUGUCGUCAGCUCGUGUUGUGAAAUGUUGGGUUAAGUCCCGCAACGAGCGCAACCCUUAUCCUUUGUUGCCAGCGGUUAGGCCGGGAACUCAAAGGAGACUGCCAGUGAUAAACUGGAGGAAGGUGGGGAUGACGUCAAGUCAUCAUGGCCCUUACGACCAGGGCUACACACGUGCUACAAUGGCAUAUACAAAGAGAAGCGACCUCGCGAGAGCAAGCGGACCUCAUAAAGUAUGUCGUAGUCCGGAUUGGAGUCUGCAACUCGACUCCAUGAAGUCGGAAUCGCUAGUAAUCGUAGAUCAGAAUGCUACGGUGAAUACGUUCCCGGGCCUUGUACACACCGCCCGUCACACCAUGGGAGUGGGUUGCAAAAGAAGUAGGUAGCUUAACCUUCGGGAGGGCGCUUACCACUUUGUGAUUCAUGACUGGGGUGAAGUCGUAACAAGGUAGCCGU
Molecule: ribosomal RNA, 994 nt
Filed under: uncultured Klebsiella sp.
Lineage: Bacteria; Pseudomonadati; Pseudomonadota; Gammaproteobacteria; Enterobacterales; Enterobacteriaceae
Description: bacterial SSU rRNA
Rfam family: Bacterial small subunit ribosomal RNA
Source: RNAcentral